This 254-nucleotide ribosomal RNA is filed under the name uncultured bacterium. RNAcentral's name for it is "partial 16S ribosomal RNA". It matches the Rfam family "Bacterial small subunit ribosomal RNA", at positions 524 to 776 of the family's 1533-position model. The record is from RNAcentral.
GACAGAGGGUGCAAACGUUGUUCGGAAUUACUGGGCGUAAAGGGCGCGCAGGCGGCUGCUCAAGUCAGGCGUGAAAGGCCUGGGCUCAACCCGGGAAUUGCGCUUGAGACUGGGCUGGCUUGAGACCGGAAGAGGUAAGUGGAACUGCGAGUGUAGAGGUGAAAUUCGUAGAUAUUCGCAAGAACACCAGUGGCGAAGGCGGCUUACUGGUCCGGUUCUGACGCUGAGGCGCGAAAGCGUGGGGAGCAAACAGG